UAGCUCAGUUGGUACUGCAUGGCAUUUGCAAUGCCAGGGUUGUGGGUUUCAUUCCCAC
Molecule: transfer RNA, 58 nt
Filed under: Salmo salar (Atlantic salmon)
Lineage: Eukaryota; Metazoa; Chordata; Actinopteri; Salmoniformes; Salmonidae
Rfam family: tRNA
About the family: Transfer RNA (tRNA) molecules are approximately 80 nucleotides in length. Their secondary structure includes four short double-helical elements and three loops (D, anti-codon, and T loops). Further hydrogen bonds mediate the characteristic L-shaped molecular structure. tRNAs have two regions of fundamental functional importance: the anti-codon, which is responsible for specific mRNA codon recognition, and the 3' end, to which the tRNAs corresponding amino acid is attached (by aminoacyl-tRNA synthetases). tRNAs cope with the degeneracy of the genetic code in two manners: having more than one tRNA (with a specific anti-codon) for a particular amino acid; and 'wobble' base-pairing, i.e. permitting non-standard base-pairing at the 3rd anti-codon position.
Source: Rfam by way of RNAcentral